Molecule: unclassified non-coding RNA, 148 nt
Organism: Pongo abelii (Sumatran orangutan)
Lineage: Eukaryota; Metazoa; Chordata; Mammalia; Primates; Hominidae
Rfam family: Metazoan signal recognition particle RNA
About the family: The signal recognition particle (SRP) is a universally conserved ribonucleoprotein.
Source: Ensembl
GCUGGGUGUGGUGGUGCACACCUGUAGUCCCAGCUACUCAGGAGGCUGAGGCAGGAGAAUUGCUUGAGCCCAGGAGGUGGAGGUUACAGUGAGCCAAGAUCGUGCCACUACACUCCAGCCUGGGCAACAAAGCAAGACUCUGUCUCAA